UACGUAGGGUGCAAGCGUUGUCCGGAAUUAUUGGGCGUAAAGAGCUCGUAGGCGGUCUGUCGCGUCGGCUGUGAAAACGCGAGGCUCAACCUCGCGCCUGCAGUGGGUACGGGCAGACUAGAGUGCGGUAGGGGAGAUUGGAAUUCCUGGUGUAGCGGUGGAAUGCGCAGAUAUCAGGAGGAACACCGAUGGCGAAGGCAGAUCUCUGGGCCGUAACUGACGCUGAGGAGCGAAAGCGUGGGGAGCGAACAGG
RNAcentral lists this ribosomal RNA (253 nucleotides) under uncultured bacterium. Its description in RNAcentral is "partial 16S ribosomal RNA". It matches the Rfam family "Bacterial small subunit ribosomal RNA", at positions 524 to 776 of the family's 1533-position model. The record is from RNAcentral.